CGAUCUGGCUCAGAACGAACGCUGGCGGCGCGUCUUAAGCAUGCAAGUCGAACGGCAAGAGGUAGCAAUACCUCCUAGAGUGGCGGACUGGUGAGUAACACGUGGGUGACAUACCCUUCAGAUGGGGGAUAGCUAUUAGAAAUAGUAGAUAAUACCGAAUACGAGCACAGGGGUUAGAGAUCUGUGAGGAAAGGAGCUAAGGCUCCGCUGAAGGAAUGGCCUGCGGCCCAUUAGCUAGUGGUGAGGUAAGAGCCCACCAAGGCGAUGAUGGGUAUCCGGCCUUAGAGGGUGAACGGACACAUUGGGACUGAGAUACGGCCCAGACUCCUACGGGAGGCAGCAGCUAAGAAUAUUCCGCAAUGGACGAAAGUCUGACGGAGCGACGCCGCGUGGAUGAAGAAGGCCGGAAGGUUGUAAAAUCCUUUUGAAACUGAAGAAUAAGCGUUGUAGGGAAUGACAGCGUGGUGACAGUAGGUUUUGAAUAAGCAACGGCUAAUUACGUGCCAGCAGCCGC
This 514-nucleotide ribosomal RNA is filed under the name uncultured bacterium. RNAcentral describes it as "bacterial SSU rRNA". It matches the Rfam family "Bacterial small subunit ribosomal RNA", at positions 14 to 518 of the family's 1533-position model. The record is from RNAcentral.